AGGGCACCACCAGGAGUGGAGCCUGCGGCUUAAUUUGACUCAACACGGGAAAACUCACCCGGCCCGGACACUGGAAGGAUUGACAGAUUGAGAGCUCUUUCUUGAUUCAGUGGGUGGUGGUGCAUGGCCGUUCUUAGUUGGUGGAGUGAUUUGUCUGGUUAAUUCCGAUAACGAACGAGACUCUAGCCUACUAAAUAGAUCGUCGGCUUACAAACGCCGGCGAGACUUCUUAGAGGGACAGGCGGUGAUUCAACCGCACGAAACAGAGCAAUAACAGGUCUGUGAUGCCCUUAGAUGUCCGGGGCCGCACGCGCGCUACACUGAAGUGAUCAGCGUGCUUUUUCAACCUACUCUGUCAAGAGUGGGGAACCCAAUGAACCUUCUUCGUGAUUGGGAUAGGGGAUUGUAAUUAUUCCCCUUGAACGAGGAAUUCCCAAUAAGCGCGAGUCAUAAGCUCGCGUUGAUUACGUCCCUGCCCUUUGUACACACCGCCCGUCGCUACUACCGAUUGAAUGUUUU
RNAcentral lists this ribosomal RNA (519 nucleotides) under uncultured eukaryote. RNAcentral's name for it is "SSU rRNA". It matches the Rfam family "Eukaryotic small subunit ribosomal RNA", at positions 1161 to 1699 of the family's 1831-position model. The record is from RNAcentral.